Molecule: long non-coding RNA, 942 nt
Organism: Salvia splendens (bonfire salvia)
Lineage: Eukaryota; Viridiplantae; Streptophyta; Magnoliopsida; Lamiales; Lamiaceae
Exons: 2
Source: RefSeq, a predicted model, not a curated record
UCAAAUCAACCAUUUCUUUAUAUGUGAACCAAUGUAAUCUUUGAUCCACCAUUCCCCUUCUUUCUCCUCUUCACAAAACAUACUCCAUAUGAUUUCAUGGCUACAAGUUUUCCGACCGGUGUUUCAUCUUCUAUUGCAAUAUUGAGCCGGACUUCGAGCAAACGGCCCCCAAGGGGUAGUUUGGUCAUUAUGUGUGCCACCAAGCCCAUCCCAGUUGGCCUCCGAAUCAGACCAUAUGGUCACAACAAGAUUAAGAUAAGCGAUGUCAUUUAAAUUACUAAGGUUGAUCGAAUUCUGAUUAGUUCUAAAAAAAUUUAAAAUAAAUAAAUCACAAAAUUUCAAUUCUUCUUAAUCGUCUCAUUAGUACACCAAACAAUGUCAGCAUUUGGUGAUGUUCAAAUUGUGUUUUUUUAAUUAAAAAUAAAGGAAAAACUGAUGAGUUAUUUAAAUUUAUUAUUCCAAUUAUUUUAUAUUCUUAUAUCUCCUUUUUUCAAAUGAUAUAUAGGUGUUUGAAGAUAAAUUAAAUGGUAUCAUAUGCUACAAGGCUGGAAAUGGUGAAAUUGUUUGCGAAGGAUACGAUGAGGGCCCCCUCGUGUUUCCCAACAAAUUUCAAGAUUUACUUGCAAUUCAAUUUCAAGUGGAGAUGCUGAGAGAGUUGGCUUGCUUCAAAGAUGUUGGCUUCAUGAAUCUGAUGAGAAAGAGCUGCCUAUAUUUUUGACAUCAUAGAACAAUGUUUUUGAAGAUUUACAAGUUUUUUGUACAUUUAGAAGCCAUGUAUUUCUUUCUUGAAUUUUCUUUUUUCGAGAAUUCGAUGGAUGUAAAAGAGUCGAAACGAAUACAAGAAUGGUAAGUAACUAUAUCCCAGGCUUGAUUCAAAUUUUUGUGAUCAAGCUCGAUUUGAAUCGGAGUUAUGAAGCUUUUAAGUAGCUCGAGUUCGAUAAA